RNAcentral lists this transfer RNA (85 nucleotides) under Pseudomonadota bacterium. RNAcentral's name for it is "tRNA-Leu". It matches the Rfam family "tRNA". From Rfam's summary of the family: Transfer RNA (tRNA) molecules are approximately 80 nucleotides in length. Their secondary structure includes four short double-helical elements and three loops (D, anti-codon, and T loops). The record is from RNAcentral. RNAcentral also lists the same sequence under 1 other name. Lineage: Bacteria; Pseudomonadati; Pseudomonadota.
GCGAAGGUGGCGGAAUUGGCAGACGCACUGGAUUUAGGUUCCAGCGCCGCGAGGCGUGCGGGUUCAAAUCCCGCCCUUCGCACCA